RNAcentral lists this ribosomal RNA (376 nucleotides) under uncultured Pseudomonadota bacterium. RNAcentral describes it as "bacterial SSU rRNA". It matches the Rfam family "Bacterial small subunit ribosomal RNA", at positions 524 to 898 of the family's 1533-position model. The record is from RNAcentral. Lineage: Bacteria; Pseudomonadati; Pseudomonadota.
UACGGGGGGUGCAAGCGUUGUUCGGAAUCAUUGGGCGUAAAGAGCGUGUAGGCGGUUGGACAAGUCAGAUGUGAAAGCCCUGGGCUCAACCCAGGAAGUGCAUUUGAAACUGUUCAGCUAGAGUAAGGGAGAGGAAAGUGGAAUUCCUGGUGUAGAGGUGAAAUUCGUAGAUAUCAGGAGGAACACCGGUGGCGAAGGCGACUUUCUGGCCCUAUACUGACGCUGAGACGCGAGAGCGUGGGUAGCAAACAGGAUUAGAUACCCUGGUAGUCCACGCUGUAAACGAUGUUCACUAGGUGUUGGGGGUAUUGACCCUCUCAGUGCCGCAGCUAACGCAUUAAGUGAACCGCCUGGGGAGUACGGUCGCAAGAUUAAA